Long non-coding RNA from Dermochelys coriacea (leatherback sea turtle), 2956 nucleotides. RefSeq lists it as uncharacterized. The transcript is spliced from 3 exons. The record is from RefSeq and is a predicted model, not a curated record. NCBI's taxonomy places the organism in Eukaryota, Metazoa, Chordata, Testudines, Dermochelyidae.
UUCUUUUUGCGAAUACAGACUAACACGGCUGCUACUCUGAAACCCAUUAAGUGUUUUAUAUAUAAGUACCUGUUAAAGGGUUUCCGAAGUGGUCUUUAGUAGCCUAUCACAUACUAAUCAGACAGUUCACUCAGAGAUACUAGUCACCAUGUCAGUCUAAGUCUGAUCUAAUAGUAUUGUAUGAGAUACUAUCAUGGAUACCAUAUGGGGCUGUUGGUGUUUCAACCAUAAUAUAUACAUCAAUGGAAUGAGGCCUCAAAGGGGUGUUUCAAGUGCUCAGAUGAGGUAAUUGGAAGGGUCUGAUACAUUAUUAAGGUUUUGCGUCCUUGUCUGAUAUAAUAGUGUGGAACAAUCAACCUUGGUUAUGGGUGCAAAAAUAUUUGUUAAAAGCCAUUACAUGUCAACAUUACAAAAUAUUUUGCUCAUGUUAAGAGAAAGGAAUAGAUCUGAAUUUAGAGGAAUCAGGAGAUCUGAAUUCUAUUGUCUCAUUCUGGCGUGACACAUACUUCCUCUGUGAACUUGGCCCAGUCACUUAGCCAAAAUUUUCACACUUGGGUGCCUAAAGUGAGGCACCUAAAUCCAUAUUUAGAUCAGUCUACACCCAGUUUUGUAUAAACUGGCUGUGAAUUAAUUUAGGCUGGAAAUUCGGAGAAGGCUUCUAAUUACCUGAGGAGUGAGGUUCUGGAACAGCCUUCCAUUAGGAGUUAUGGAGGGUGAACAACCUGACUGGUUUUAAGAUGGAGCUUGGUAAAUUUAUGAAUGGGGAUUAUAUAAGGUGGUUGUCUGCAACAGUAGGGGACUGGACUCAGGAGGUCCCUUCCUGUCCUAUGUUUCUAUGUUUCAGUUAGGGCUGUGAUAAUUUUAUUAAAUUAGCUAUGCUGGCAUGGCUCCACCCUAGUGUGAAUGUAGUUAUAUGCUAUAAAAGUGUCUUAUACCACUUGGUAUAAUUCCCAUAUGGGAAGGAAAUAAGCUAAUAUAAGCACCUUUAUACAUGACAAGACUGCAUCCACAUGAGGGGUGUUGUACUGCUUUAACUAUACUGGCUUGGUUAAAAUGGUGCCACUGCGCAAGUGGGCAAGGAAUGGAUGGAACCUUGGCUCUGCCUCCCUCAAUGUGCCGGCCAGUUUAGCUGCGGUGACAUGGCUGGGACCAUAUGCUGCGUGAGAUAGGACUGAGCAGGGUACAUUUCCCCCUGGAGCAGGGGGAAAUUGGAAGGCAGCUUGUGACUCUCUAAAUCAUAAAUUGCUUCCCAGCCUAUCCCUGGAGCAGCGCAGCCCAAUACACCGGGCUUGUGGCAAAGCAAAAAUUGGCACCAUCAUAUUUUUAAGCAUGUUGAGUUUCUCUGAUGGAAGGCUCUGUGUGUGCCCAGUAUUAUUAUUGUUCCUCUGUUUCCCAUUGUCUACACCCUACUGUUCACAGUGAUAUUUUAUAUGUUACAAAUAGAAUGAGAAUACUUAGGCUCUGGGAAUGAUUAGUAACAUUUAAUUUGCAGACGCUCAAAAAUGAUUUUUUUCAUCUUUUUACAGUGCUUUAUGUAACGGGUGCCUUUGUAUUUCCUUUACUCUUCCUCACUGGCAACACUUUGCAAUCUUUGCUGGGUUUGCAGCUGCAUGGGCUUGCUCAAUGAGAGCCAUUAAAAAUGUUCUCCCCUUUGCCCUUUCCGGAUAGCCAUUCUUCACCCUCAUGCCUACUAGACUCAAACCCAUCAACUUACUGCUUCACUGCUCUUCCUAGCGCAGGCACUUUAGCUUGGCUUCGGAGAAUUCUAUAGCAAGCCUUUUGUCUGCACUGAGAUUAUUAAUAGUCAGUUUCGGUCUUUGUUUAUGUUUUGUUUUACACUAUCAUUUUUUUUCUAAAUUGCUGAGUUGUUCCGGAAAGUAGUAAUUCUAAAUAUUGGGAAGGGUUUGAAGUCCUAAAUCUGGACACUUAAAAUAAAUAAAGUGAAAUUGAAGGGGAAGAAAAAAAAUUGCUCCUUUUGUUGCUAUCUUGGGUUUUGCAGCACAAGAGCAGCAUAAUUUUUUGUAUCUCAUUUUUAUGUGUGUGACUUCUUUGUUGUGGUUAGAUCACUGCUGCAGCAUCCCAUGACAGUAGCAUCUAAUAAAAUUACUGAACACUCGAUUACCAAUCUUAAAUCAAAAUGAUAUGUGAAGUUUAGGUUAAUUCCCGAGUUUAAUUCUUCUGCUAUGGAAAAGACAAUUUUGAGAGUUCAUUUCUGAUGGAAAUACAUUUUUUCAUUCUUUUGUAAGUACCAUGCAAUAUAUCUGGUAGGAUGUUUGUCCCAGGAAUCUUCGUUCUGUAUGAUGUGCCUGCAAGAAAACACUUUAGAUUUGCAAAGUUAAGGCAAUCGUAAAUUCAACACAGAGAUAUUUUAAUUCUCAUGUUAAAUCAUAGAGUAGUUUGUUUUUUUUAUCAUGAGGGAGGGAAAUAUAUGUCUGGUUCUUUGUCUUCUGCAUUUUGUGACAAAGGCAGCAUUCCCAGUUGAAUUGCUCUGCUCUAUUCAAGCCCCCUCUGAGCCUCUGGUUAACAGCAGUCAGUCUUUGCAGUGUCCUGACGUCAUCCAGUGUAUGCAUAAGCUAUGCUAUUGUCUUACUGAGACCAGGGGCUGUGGAUUGCAGUAUCUGGUGUCUGCUACCUAUUUCUGCCUCACUGCAUGACAGAAGGGACACUGACCUUCCCUUACCUCUUGGAUUUAAAACAGCAACUCCUGAUUUUUGCUUCCUGAAGAAGACCUUUGCUUUGGUUGCAAGGAAAAGCUGUCUGCAGUGUGAAGCUUAGGAGAAGAGAAUCUGGCAGCUUGACUUGGACUGCAUUGUCUGGCUUCAUGACCCCUGCUGUGUAGCAGUCUCAUCCUACUCUCACACGCUCCCUCUAUCUCUCAUUCUUUUCCCUUCUUUAAAUAGCAGCAUCUGGGGCCAGCCAUGUUUGGCACUGAAUCUUCAUUGAGUCUGUUUUUGAA